GCUGUGUGUGGCCCUACCUGAGGGACUGGAAAAGGCUGGGCAGGGCACCGUGGGGCUUGCUGAGUCCUAGUCAAGCCUUGAGGGCGCUCCCCGCCACCAAGCUGCUCCAGGGGUGCAUUUCCAGACGCUGGGAAGGAUGCCGUGAGGAGCUCGGAGCCCUCGGGAAAGGUCAGGUAGAGCCCCCGAUGCGGACAGGCUGGGGUCAAGCCUCCCUCCAGCCGCGGCCCGGGUCCAGGCCUGAAGAGUAAAACCAUGAAAAGCCGCCCGGAUGUGACAAGUCUCUCAGGAGCGUACAGCUGUCAGGUCCGCCUGCCGCCGUCCUGCAUCACGGAAAGCCAGUAUGGAUGGCCGGGGAGAGGCUUUGGGGCCGGGUGACUGGUCACACCCUCACACUUUCCUACAGCUCUCGUCACGGAAGGCUGCUCUGACCCGCAAUCGGUAAGCUCUCGGUCUCCACGCCGGGUGCUUGCGUCGGCUAUGAGUGUCAGCUUGUGCUCACCAAGAACGGUAGCCUUUGGAAAAUACUGAGAUAUGUGGAUCUUCCAAAUGUUGACGCUUUUGAGAGACUGAUUAUAGAAAUGGACAAUGGCCAGACCAUAUGUAGAAAUAAGAUUGACCUACAACUGCAACAGCCAGCCCAGGAAGCCCACCCACUGUCUACACUGACCAGCCCAGGAAGCCCACCCACAGUCUACAGUGACCAGCCCAGGAAGCCCAUCCACUGUCUACAGUGACCAGCCCAGGAAGCCCACCCACUGUCUACAGUGACCAGCCCAGGAAGCCCACCCACAGUCUACAGUGACCAGCCCAGGAAGCCCACCCACUGUCUACAGUGACCAGCCGAGGAAGCCCACCCACUGUCUACAGUGACCAGCCCAGGAAGCCCACCCACUGUCUACAGUGACCAGCCCAGGAAGCCCACCCACUGUCUACAGUGACCAGCCCAGGAAGCCCACCCACAGUAUACAGUGACCAGCCCAGGAAGCCCACCCACAGUAUACAGUGACCAGCCCAGGAAGCCCACCAACUGUCUACAGUGAUCAACCCAGGAAGCCCACCCACUGUCUACAGUGACCAGCCCAGGAAGCCCACCCAUAGUCUACAGUGAUCAGCCCAGGAAGCCCACCCCUGUCUACAGUGACCAGCCCAGGUAGCCCACCCACAGUCUACAGUGACCAGCCCAGGAAGCCCACCCACAGUAUACAGUGACCAGCCCAGGAAGCCCAUCCACUGUCUACAUGAUCAGGCCAGGAAGCCCACCCAUAAUCUACAGUGACCAGCCCAGGAAGCCCACCAACUGUCUACAGUGAUCAACCCAGGAAGCCCACCACUGUGUACAGUGACCAGCCCAGGAAGCCCACCCAUAGUCUACAGUGACCAGCCCAGGAAGCCCACCCACUGUCUACAGUGACCAGCCCAGGUAGCCCACCCAUAGUCUACAGCGACCAGCCCAGGAAGCUGUCUGCCGUAGUCAGAUUGCUGUCUCUGUGACAAUCCAGGAGAAUAAACAAUAAUCUCUGUGACGCUGGGUCCCCAGUGCCCAUGACUUGAUCAAUAACUGACUGCUGUCCUACAUUCUGUUCCCCCUUCCACCUUUGGACCCAUCAGAGAAAGCCAAGGUGCUCCCCUAACCAAUCACGUGGGACCCCUGUUUCUAGUAACCCUGCUCCAGCUUCCCCAGGCUCACCGCCUCCAUCAGGGAACUCCUGAACCUUCCUUUUUUCUCCCAUAAAGCUCUCCACUCCUCUGCCUGCCUCUGAGUCUCUGCCGGUGCUGGUGGCCACCCCCUUGUUACAGCAAACUCUGAACAAGUGGCCUUUCCCUGUCUCAUGGGGGUGGUCUCUAUUCAUCUCCACACUUUCAUUUCAAGCUAUCAAAAAAAUCACAUUUGUUAAUGUUGCUACCUGUCUCACCAAAAAGUCUUUAAAUAUUGUGAUACCGUCAAGCUCACAAUGGUGGAUAAAGUGUUCCAAAAUUCUGAUUUCUACCUGAAAUCUCUAAUCUUCUCAUCUGCAACAUAUGCUAUCAUUUCUUUGCCUUGGAGUGACAUGCAGACAGUACUCACGUCUGAAUACCAUCGUUUGUCAACCUGUUGUUCCAAGUGAAAACUGUGUUCCACUAGUUCAGCUGGUGACUCAAAGGACAGCCCAGUGCUUGUCUUGUGACAGUUGUCAAUCACUUCUGUGUGCAUCAGAAGCCCUUCAUGCUGUACUUAUGGUCAUGCAUCGCACAACGACGGGGACUUGCUCUGAGAAAUUCGUCGUUAAGGGUUUCGUCAUUGCUUGAACAUCAUAGAGUGUACGUGCACAAACCUAGAUGGUAUAACCCACACACCCAGGCUGUAGGGUGCUAAUCUUAUGGGACCACCAUCUUAUGUGCAUCCGUUGUUGACCAAAACGUCAAGUACACACGAUCGAACUUCCAUUUCAUCACACAGAACACUAAAAAGACGUGUACACCAGGCUGAGAUGGAAUAAAUUUAAUUUUUGCUGCUUCACUAAGGAAAACCAGAUGAAACUGGUUUUUAUUGUUCUUACAAGCGGUUGGUGCUGGAGAGACGGGUGCAGUUCUCUGCCGCCUUGUGCUGGGAAAAGGAGCCGGUAGUGUUACCC
This 2612-nucleotide long non-coding RNA is filed under the name Equus caballus (horse). RNAcentral's name for it is "lncRNA (ENSECAG00000053338.1)". Lineage: Eukaryota; Metazoa; Chordata; Mammalia; Perissodactyla; Equidae. The record is from RNAcentral.